This is an RNA transcript of Trifolium pratense (red clover), 2374 nucleotides long. It is a transcript of the gene named glycerol-3-phosphate acyltransferase 9-like, with no coding region annotated. The transcript has 13 exons. NCBI's taxonomy places the organism in Eukaryota, Viridiplantae, Streptophyta, Magnoliopsida, Fabales, Fabaceae. The record is from RefSeq and is a predicted model, not a curated record.
AAUAAAUAAACAUUGAAAUAAAUGUGAUCCUGAACCUCGCCACUUCCGCCCACUGUUCAUCGUAGACUCCGCUCCAUGUCCCGCCCUGUUCGUUUCUCCGGGAGGACAGAUCGAUAACCGUCACAUCUUUUACUACCGGAAACUGGAUUUGAAAUGAAACUACACAUUUCCUUUUAAGAAAUUGCUGGAAGAAGUGAUAGCACAGCACCGAUGAAUAGCACUGGAACACUUAAGUCUUCAAGUUCUGAGUUGGAUCUUGAUCGACCCAACAUUGAGGAUUACCUCCCUUCAGGAGCAGCCAUUCAACAAGAACCUCGUGGCAAGCUUCGCCUGCAUGACUUGCUCGAUAUUUCUCCUACUUUAUCUGAGGCAGCUGGUGCUAUUGUAGAUGACUCAUUCACAAGAUGUUUCAAGUCAAAUCCUCCAGAACCAUGGAAUUGGAAUAUUUAUUUGUUUCCUUUGUGGUGUUUCGGAGUUUUUCUUCGAUAUUUGAUAAUAUUCCCUACCAGGGCUCUUGUGUUAACAAUAGGAUGGAUUAUAUUUCUUUCCACCUUCAUUCCAGUGCACCUCCUAUUGAAAGGACAUGACAAGCUGAGGAGGAAUAUUGAGAGGUCUUUGGUAGAGAUGAUGUGCGGUUUCUUUGUUGCAUCUUGGACUGGGGUUGUCAAGUACCAUGGGCCAAGGCCUAGCAGGCGACCAAAACAGGUUUUUGUGGCCAACCACACUUCCAUGAUUGAUUUCAUUAUCUUAGAACAGAUGACUGCUUUUGCUGUUAUUAUGCAGAAGCAUCCUGGAUGGGUUGGAUUGUUGCAAAGCACCAUUCUGGAGAGUGUAGGAUGUAUCUGGUUCAAUCGAUCAGAGGCUAAGGAUCGAGAAAUUGUGGCAAGAAAAUUGAGGGACCAUGUCCAGGGAACUGACAACAAUCCUCUUCUCAUAUUUCCUGAGGGAACGUGUGUAAAUAAUCACUAUACAGUCAUGUUCAAGAAGGGUGCAUUUGAACUUGGCUGCACAGUUUGCCCAAUUGCAAUCAAGUACAACAAAAUUUUUGUCGAUGCUUUUUGGAAUAGUCGAAAGCAAUCUUUCACUACACAUCUGUUACAGCUAAUGACAUCUUGGGCUGUUGUUUGUGAUGUUUGGUACUUGGAGCCACAAAAUCUGAAGCCAGGAGAGACACCCAUCGAGUUUGCAGAAAGGAUUUGAAAUGAAACUACACAUUUCCUUUUAAGAAAUUGCUGGAAGAAUUGAUAGCACAGCACCGAUGAAUAGCACUGGAACACUUAAGUCUUCAAGUUCUGAGUUGGAUCUUGAUCGACCCAACAUUGAGGAUUACCUCCCUUCAGGAGCAGCCAUUCAACAAGAACCUCGUGGCAAGCUUCGCCUGCAUGACUUGCUCGAUAUUUCUCCUACUUUAUCUGAGGCAGCUGGUGCUAUUGUAGAUGUAAGCUUUUUCCUUCAUCUUUUAUUCAUUGUUUUACUGUUUUUUGUGGUUUUUAUGUAUACAUGUGUUAUAAUGAACUAUGCAUGUAAUUAUAAUGACCUAUACAUGUGUUAUGGUCCCCCAUCUACAUUUCUUUUAGAAAAGUUUGGCUUUAUGGUACGUUUUGUACGUUUGGUCCAAUUUUUUGUUAGGUGCUUUAAAAGUUGUUUUAAAAAUUAAACAAAAAGUAACAUAUGAUUGGUUUUAGUGGGAAUAAGAUAUGGGUAGUUAUGAUUAGGACUUUGAUCUGAUUAUUAGGUUUGAGUGGUACCAGGUUUGGCACUUUAAAGCAUCAUUAUAUAAUACAAGUGAAGUCAUAUAAAAAUAGGAAAAAACAUAACCGAACCCUUUCUCUUUGGCUCAUUGGCUCAUUGGCUCUUCAUCUCUUUCUCUUUUUCUUAAUUAGAUGCUUAUUACCAUUUCACCCUUCUUCCUACCCUUUUAUAUACCAACCAAAACCGAACCUUCCCUUCACUUUCUCACACACAAUUCCCUUCACUUUCUCACACACAAGCAUUACCCAUAAUUAUCUUCUUAAUUUGUUUCUUCACAAGCAUCCACAUAUCACAGAACAUAGACAAAGAGAGUAAAAUCAGAGCAAAAACCACAAGGCAGACGCAGAGAAAGAGAGUAAAAUCAGAAAGCAAAGCAAAAACCACAAGGCAGCUCAAAAAUCAGUAGACUCAGUAAUUUGUGAGCGAGCACAUAGUAAUUCUUCUUCCUUCAGUUGAGUUUUUUUUAAGUUGGUAGAAUUUUUUUACAUUUUAAAUUUAGAAUCUUCUAAAGAUGGCCUCUUCUCCAACCUUCACCCUUCCCAUUUUUAUUUUUAUUUCCAUGUUAUUCUGCCCAGCACCGUCCGUCGCGUCUGGCCUCAAUGUCAGUGAGGUCAUGACGAAA